This 252-nucleotide ribosomal RNA is filed under the name uncultured bacterium. Its description in RNAcentral is "partial 16S ribosomal RNA". It matches the Rfam family "Bacterial small subunit ribosomal RNA", at positions 524 to 776 of the family's 1533-position model. The record is from RNAcentral.
UACGUAGGUGGCAAGCGUUUUCCGGAAUUAUUGGGCGUAAAGCGCGCGCAGGCGGUUAUGUAAGUCUGAUGUUAAAGCCCGGGGCUCAACCUCGGUUCGCAUUGGAAACUGCGUAACUUGAGUGCAGAAGAGGAAAGUGGUAUUCCACGUGUAGCGGUGAAAUGCGUAGAUAUGUGGAGGAACACCAGUGGCGAAGGCGACUUUCUGGUCUGUAACUGACGCCGAGGCGCGAAAGCGUGGGGAGCAAACAGG